GUCAUAAAGAUGAUUCAUGGAUAUGUCUGUAACGAUGAAAAACUUGAAAAAAUUGUGCAUCAGAUUGUUAAAACGCAUCCUCUACAAAGUGGACUUCAGUGGGCCAGGUGGGCAUUCACUUCUAAAAUAAUACAAUGUUUGUCAAAAUAGAAAGAAAGAUGUGAUUAUGGGUGAGUGUGACUCUCUCAUAAUUUUUUUGAAUAAAAAUAAAAGGUAAAAUUAUAUUCUCAAAGACUCUAAAAUGACACAUGAUUUGUUCAUGCUUUACAAAUCAGGGUUUCUCAAAGGUGAGGACAGGGCUUUUGAAAAUUCUACAUUGAUUUCAGCUCCACCCGCCCAGUGAAAAGAUCUAUGUAUUAAUAUUAGAGAUGAUAAAACAAACUGCAUA
RNAcentral lists this long non-coding RNA (388 nucleotides) under Bos taurus (domestic cattle). Its description in RNAcentral is "long non-coding RNA NONBTAT019305". The record is from RNAcentral. Lineage: Eukaryota; Metazoa; Chordata; Mammalia; Artiodactyla; Bovidae.